AAUGAGCCUAAGUCUAAUCGAAUCUUCCGUUAAUUGGUGGAGCUUUUGGAGGGAACAAACUUCCUCGAACUCUUGAAUAAAAAGAUAAGGAUCCUCACCCUCACUCCCGGUAAAUUUAGGUAACAUGCUAAUGUGAUGAGCUUUGAUUUCAAAAUUGUUCCCAUUUACGGGAGGAAGGGUGAUGCACGAAGGUUGACUUGAACGAGAUGGAUAACAACGAUCCUUGAGUGAAAGGGCCAUGUUUACUAUCGGUUCUAGAACUUCUAGGGUUUCGGAAUCCGAAGAGGACGAGGGAAUC
RNAcentral lists this long non-coding RNA (298 nucleotides) under Daucus carota (carrot). RNAcentral describes it as "long non-coding RNA (DCAR_LNC001021)". Lineage: Eukaryota; Viridiplantae; Streptophyta; Magnoliopsida; Apiales; Apiaceae. The record is from RNAcentral.